GACGAACGCUGGCGGCGUGCCUAAUACAUGCAAGUCGAACGGACAGGCCCUGCUUUUGUGGGGCGCUCGAGUGGCGAACGCGUGAGUAACACGCGAGUAACCUGCCCUUGACUUUGGGAUAACUUCAGGAAACUGGGGCUAAUAUCGGAUAGGAGCUCCUGCUGCAUGGUGGGGGUUGGAAAGUUGCGGCGGUAGGGGCUGGAAUAGCGGCUUAUCAGCUUCUUGGUGGGGUAGGGGAUUACCAAGGGUUAGACGGGUAGCCGGCCUGGGAGGGUGACCGGCCACAUGGGGACUGCGAGAGGGCCCAGUCGCCAACGGGAGGCAACGGGGGGGAAUAUUGCGCAAUAGGGCGGAGCCUGAGAUGGCAACGUCGCGUUCGUGAUGACGUCCUUCUGGUUGUAAACCACUUUCGCCUGUGACAAAGCGUUAUUGACGGUAAUUGGUAAGGAAGCACCGGCUAACUACGUG
Molecule: ribosomal RNA, 468 nt
Filed under: uncultured bacterium
Lineage: Bacteria
Description: partial 16S ribosomal RNA
Rfam family: Bacterial small subunit ribosomal RNA
Source: RNAcentral